UGGGGAAUCUUGCGCAAUGGGCGAAAGCCUGACGCAGCAACGCCGCGUGGGGGAAGAAGGCUUUCGGGUUGUAAACCUCUUUCAGGGGGGACGAAGCCACCGGGGUUAAUAGCCCACGGGGUGACGGUACCCCCAGAAGAAGCCCCGGCUAACUACGUGCCAGCAGCCGCGGUAAUACGUAGGGGGCAAGCGUUGUCCGGAAUCAUUGGGCGUAAAGCGCGUGUAGGUGGCUUGGUAAGUCCGGUGUGAAACCUUGGGGCUCAACCCCAAGCCUGCAUCGGAUACUGCCUCGCUCGAGUUCGGGAGGGGAGAGCGGAAUUCCUAGUGUAGCGGUGAAAUGCGCAGAUAUUAGGAAGAACACCGGUGGCGAAGGCGGCUCUCUGGAACGAUACUGACACUGAGACGCGAAAGCGUGGGUAGCGAACAGGAUUAGAUACCCUAGUAGUCCCUGAGCGGGCUGGCAAGGCGCAU
This 471-nucleotide ribosomal RNA is filed under the name uncultured bacterium. RNAcentral describes it as "bacterial SSU rRNA". It matches the Rfam family "Bacterial small subunit ribosomal RNA", at positions 355 to 825 of the family's 1533-position model. The record is from RNAcentral.